AUUGAACGCUGGCGGCAGGCCUUACACGUGCAAGUCGAACGAGUGGCGGACGGGUGAGUAAUGUCUGGGAAACUGCCUGAUGGAGGGGGAUCACUCCUGGAAACGGUAGCUAAUACCGCAUACCAUACGAUGUGUCCCGCUGGGAUGAGCUACUUGGUGGGGUAACGGCUCACCAAGGCGACGAUCCCUACCUGGUCUGAGAGGAUGACCAGCCACACUGGAACUGAGACACGGUCCAGACUCCUACGUGAGGCAGCAGUGGGGAAUAUUGCACAAUGGGCGCAAGCCUGAUGCAGCCAUGCCGCGUGUAUGAAGAAGGCCUUCGGGUUGUAAAGUACUUUCAGCGGGGAGGCGUUACCCGCAGAAGAAGCACCGGCUAACUCCGUGCCAGCAGCCGCGGUAAUAC
Molecule: ribosomal RNA, 406 nt
Filed under: uncultured bacterium
Lineage: Bacteria
Description: partial 16S ribosomal RNA
Rfam family: Bacterial small subunit ribosomal RNA
Source: RNAcentral